UCUGGUGCUUUAAGAGAAGGGGUCACACCUGUUCCCAUCCCGAACACAGAAGUUAAGCCUUUCAUCGCUGAUGAUAGUCGUUAUUGGCAAAAGUAGGCUAGCGCCAGAA
Molecule: ribosomal RNA, 109 nt
Filed under: Candidatus Kuenenbacteria bacterium CG_4_10_14_3_um_filter_39_14
Lineage: Bacteria; Candidatus Kueneniibacteriota
Also listed under: 5 other names
Source: RNAcentral